This 253-nucleotide ribosomal RNA is filed under the name uncultured bacterium. RNAcentral describes it as "partial 16S ribosomal RNA". It matches the Rfam family "Bacterial small subunit ribosomal RNA", at positions 524 to 776 of the family's 1533-position model. The record is from RNAcentral.
UACGUAGGCAGCGAGCGUUGUUCGGAAUUACUGGGCGUAAAGAGUGUGUAGGCGGUGCUCUAAGUUUGGUGUGAAAUCCCCAGGCUUAACCUGGGAACUGCGUCUGAUACUGGAUGGCUUGAAUUCGGGAGAGGGAUGCAGAAUUCCAGGUGUAGCGGUGAAAUGCGUAGAUAUCUGGAGGAAUACCGGUGGCGAAGGCGGCAUCCUGGACCGAGAUUGACGCUGAUGAGCGAAAGCUAGGGGAGCAAACGGG